RNAcentral lists this ribosomal RNA (253 nucleotides) under uncultured bacterium. Its description in RNAcentral is "partial 16S ribosomal RNA". It matches the Rfam family "Bacterial small subunit ribosomal RNA", at positions 524 to 776 of the family's 1533-position model. The record is from RNAcentral.
UACGUAGGGUGCGAGCGUUGUCCGGAAUUACUGGGCGUAAAGAGCUCGUAGGUGGUUUGUCGCGUUGUUCGUGAAAUCUCACGGCUUAACUGUGAGCGUGCGGGCGAUACGGGCAGACUGGAGUACUGCAGGGGAGACUGGAAUUCCUGGUGUAGCGGUGGAAUGCGCAGAUAUCAGGAGGAACACCGGUGGCGAAGGCGGGCUUCUGGCUAAUUACUGACGCUGAGGUGCGAAAGCUAGGGGAGCGAACGGG